UACGUAGGGACCAAGCGUUGUCCGGAAUCAUUGGGCGUAAAGAGCGUGUAGGCGGCUUGUUAAGUCUUGCGUGAAAUCUCGGGGCUCAACCCCGAGCGGUCGUGAGAAACUGGCAGGCUAGAGUGCGGGAGAGGAGAGUGGAAUUCCUGGUGUAGCGGUGAAAUGCGCAGAUAUCAGGAAGAACACCAAUGGCGAAAGCAGCUUUCUGGGACGGUACUGACGCUGAGACGCGAAAGCGUGGGGAGCGAACCGG
RNAcentral lists this ribosomal RNA (253 nucleotides) under uncultured bacterium. Its description in RNAcentral is "partial 16S ribosomal RNA". It matches the Rfam family "Bacterial small subunit ribosomal RNA", at positions 524 to 776 of the family's 1533-position model. The record is from RNAcentral.